RNAcentral lists this ribosomal RNA (921 nucleotides) under uncultured bacterium. Its description in RNAcentral is "bacterial SSU rRNA". It matches the Rfam family "Bacterial small subunit ribosomal RNA", at positions 72 to 990 of the family's 1533-position model. The record is from RNAcentral.
CAGGGAGCUUGCUCCGCUGACGAGUGGCGAACGGGUGAGUAAUAUAUCGGAACGUACCCAAGAGUGGGGGAUAACGUAGCGAAAGUUACGCUAAUACCGCAUACGAUCCAAGGAUGAAAACAGGGGACCGCAAGGCCUUGUGCUCCUGGAGCGGCCGAUAUCUGAUUAGCUAGUUGGUAGGGUAAAGGCCUACCAAGGCAUCGAUCAGUAGCUGGUCUGAGAGGACGACCAGCCACACUGGAACUGAGACACGGUCCAGACUCCUACGGGAGGCAGCAGUGGGGAAUUUUGGACAAUGGGCGCAAGCCUGAUCCAGCAAUGCCGCGUGAGUGAAGAAGGCCUUCGGGUUGUAAAGCUCUUUUGUCAGGGAAGAAACGGGUGAGGCUAAUAUCCUCAUCUAAUGACGGUACCUGAAGAAUAAGCACCGGCUAACUACGUGCCAGCAGCCGCGGUAAUACGUAGGGUGCAAGCGUUAAUCGGAAUUACUGGGCGUAAAGCGUGCGCAGGCGGUUUUGUAAGUCUGUCGUGAAAUCCCCGGGCUCAACCUGGGAAUGGCGAUGGAGACUGCAAGGCUAGAAUCUGGCAGAGGGGGGUAGAAUUCCACGUGUAGCAGUGAAAUGCGUAGAGAUGUGGAGGAACACCGAUGGCGAAGGCAGCCCCCUGGGUCAAGAUUGACGCUCAUGCACGAAAGCGUGGGGAGCAAACAGGAUUAGAUACCCUGGUAGUCCACGCCCUAAACGAUGUCUACUAGUUGUCGGGUCUUAAUUGACUUGGUAACGCAGCUAACGCGUGAAGUAGACCGCCUGGGGAGUACGGUCGCAAGAUUAAAACUCAAAGGAAUUGACGGGGACCCGCACAAGCGGUGGAUGAUGUGGAUUAAUUCGAUGCAACGCGAAAAACCUUACCUACCCUUGACAUGGA